RNAcentral lists this small nuclear RNA (22 nucleotides) under Arabidopsis thaliana (thale cress). RNAcentral's name for it is "snRNA_07452". Lineage: Eukaryota; Viridiplantae; Streptophyta; Magnoliopsida; Brassicales; Brassicaceae. The record is from RNAcentral.
AGCCGGUUUUGUUGGAAGAUAC